RNAcentral lists this ribosomal RNA (461 nucleotides) under uncultured bacterium. RNAcentral's name for it is "bacterial SSU rRNA". It matches the Rfam family "Bacterial small subunit ribosomal RNA", at positions 917 to 1382 of the family's 1533-position model. The record is from RNAcentral.
GGGCCCGCACAAGCAGUGGAGUAUGUGGUUUAAUUCGAAGCAACGCGAAGAACCUUACCAGGCCUUGACAUCCGCAGAAUCCCUCAGAGAUGAGGGAGUGCCUUUCGGGGAACUGCGAGACAGGUGGUGCAUGGUUGUCGUCAGCUCGUGUCGUGAGAUGUUGGGUUAAGUCCCGCAACGAGCGCAACCCUUGUCAAUAGUUGCUACGCAAGAGCACUCUAUUGAGACUGCCGUUGACAAAACGGAGGAAGGUGGGGAUGACGUCAAAUCAUCAUGCCCCUUAUGGCCUGGGCGACACACGUACUACAAUGGCCGUUAACAGAGGGAGGCAAGACCGCGAGGUGGAGCAAACCCCUAAAAACGGUCUCAGUUCGGAUUGCAGGCUGCAACCCGCCUGCAUGAAGCUGGAAUUGCUAGUAAUCGCGGAUCAGCAUGCCGCGGUGAAUACGUUCCCGGGCCUU